RNAcentral lists this ribosomal RNA (531 nucleotides) under uncultured bacterium. Its description in RNAcentral is "bacterial LSU rRNA". It matches the Rfam family "Bacterial large subunit ribosomal RNA", at positions 31 to 506 of the family's 2925-position model. The record is from RNAcentral.
UGGAUAGCCUUGGCACCAAGAGCCGAAGAAGGACGUAGGAGGCUGCGAUAAGCCUCGGGGAGCUGUCAACCGAGCUGUGAUCCGGGGAUGUCCGAAUGGGGAAACCCAGCUGGAGUCAUGUCCAGUUACCCAUGCCUGAACACAUAGGGCAUGCGGCGGGAACGUGGGGAAGUGAAACAUCUCAGUACCCACAGGAAGAGAAAACAACAGUGAUUCCGCGAGUAGUGGCGAGCGAAAGUGGAAGAGGCUAAACCGUAUCCGCGUGAUAGCCGGCAGGCGUUGCGAAUACGGGGUUGUGGGGCCGUUCUGAGGAUUCUGCCGAAUCCUCGAAGAGUCAGAAAUCCAGGAUGUAGUCGAAGACUUUGGAAAGAGUCGGCAUAGCGGGUAACACCCCCGUAGACGAAACAUACUUGGACUCUUGAGCGAUACCCCAAGUAGCACGGGGCCCGAGAAACUCUCGUGCGAAUCUGGCGGGACCACCCGCUAAGCCUAAAUACUCCUUGGUGACCGGAUAGCGGACAAGUACCGUGA